AAUCAUCUUUGGUUGCCAUAGCAAAGCUACCCAAAAUAUAGUUGCUGAGGAAACCAUACUGAGAAUAUACACAAUAUAUAACCUAAUAAUGUUGAUAUACAGCUUUAAGAUUACGAGGAUAUAAAAUAUACUUGUGCUCUUGUUGAGACUUUAAAUAUUGAAUCUGAUAAAUGCUUAUUAAUUUCUUUUUGAAAGUCUUCCUAUUGCAUGUGAAGAUACAGCUUACUUAACAAUCAGAAGGAAGAAAGACACUUUCUUAGAGAAGGCAUAAAGAGUUGGCUAAGGGGCACAGAUAGCUUCUUGGCUCAAAUGUGAAGGAGGAAGCACUAUGAUGACAGAGAGAAGAUCUUAUGCCAGGAAUCAAACGGAGAAGACUGCUGCCUCUUUCAUCUUUAAUAACUGAAGUGUGGUCCCUGGAGACUGAAGGUCAUUGCAUAUAAUGUUUCAUAAUGUGAUAUGCAGUCCCAGCAUAUAAUACUCCAUCCUCAUCUCAGGGGCAGAUGGCAUGAGUCACAGGUACAAAUAUACAAACUUACAGUUUCAUGCUGUUUAGCUCAAGAUGAAAUGGUAUGUGAUGGCACCUGUUGUCUCUGAAGUCUUUGCAGAUAUUUCCUCUGCAUUAAAGAUGAAAAGACUCAUAACUCAA
Molecule: long non-coding RNA, 646 nt
Organism: Strigops habroptila (Kakapo)
Lineage: Eukaryota; Metazoa; Chordata; Aves; Psittaciformes; Psittacidae
Exons: 3
Source: RefSeq, a predicted model, not a curated record